AGGAUGUUCAUCCCCUAUUGUGCAAAAGGCUAGAGGGCGCAAAUGGGGGUGAUUGGUGUUGCAGGCAAUCAUUAGAUAUUGGAGUUUCUUUAGCACUUAUCACAUCGCAUAAAAUAUCAGUCGUCCAGAUAUCUUCUUCAUGAAGGGAAGCAGUAUAAGAGAUCUUAUUCCCUACCUCUUCUCAAAUGCCUACGACUAUUAGAAGCUGACAACGCAUUUAGAGAAGUGCAUGAAGGCAUUUACGGAAGUCACAUCGGAAAGAGAGCACUAGCUUAGAAGCUCCUUCGGUAAGGCUACUAUUGGCCAAUUAUGCAAAAUGAUUUCAAGAACUAUGUUAUUUUUUGAGCAUCCUUCUGAUCCACGG
This 364-nucleotide long non-coding RNA is filed under the name Elaeis guineensis (African oil palm). RNAcentral's name for it is "long non-coding RNA (EGUI_LNC028409)". Lineage: Eukaryota; Viridiplantae; Streptophyta; Magnoliopsida; Arecales; Arecaceae. The record is from RNAcentral.